RNAcentral lists this ribosomal RNA (291 nucleotides) under uncultured eukaryote. Its description in RNAcentral is "partial 18S rRNA". It matches the Rfam family "Eukaryotic small subunit ribosomal RNA", at positions 111 to 414 of the family's 1831-position model. The record is from RNAcentral.
AAUAGUUUCUUUGGUGGUGACCUACUACAUGGAUAACCGUAGUAAUUCUAGAGCUAAUACAUGCGUAAAUCUCGACUCACGAAGAGACGUAUUUAUUAGAUAAAGACCGACCUCGUUCUGCGGUGAAUCAUAAUAACUUCACGGACCGCAUGGCUUUAUGCCGGCGGUGUUCCAUUCAAAUUUCUGCCCUAUCAACUUUCGACGGUAGGAUAGAGGCCUACCGUGGUGUUCACGGGUGACGGAGAAUUAGGGUUCGAUUCCGGAGAGGGAGCUUGAGAAACGGCUACCACA